ACGGGGUAGUAAUGUGUCGGAACGUGCCCAGAGGACGGGGAUAGCGGCGGGAAACUGCCGGUAAUACCCGAUGAUCUCGAGAGAGCAAAGGUGUGAUUCCGCCUUUGGAGCGGCCGACAUGGUAUUAGCUAGUUGGCGGGGUAACGGCCCACCAAGGCUGUGAUGCCUAGGGGAUGUGAGAGCAUGAUCCCCACCAUUGGGACUGAGACACUGCCCAGACACCUACGGGUGGCUGCAGUCGAGAAUCUUCGUCAAUGGGCGAAAGCCUGAACGAGCGACGCCGCGUGCGGGAUGAAGGCCCUUGGGUUGUAAACCGCUGUCGAGGGGGAUGAAGGCUUGAAGGUACUCCUUCAAGUUUGACAGAGCCCUGGAGGAAGCACGGGCUAAGUUCGUGCCAGCAGCCGCGGUAAUACGAACUGUGCGAACGUUAUUCGGAAUCACUGGGCUUACAGGGUGCGUAGGCGGCUUUUCAGGUCAGGUGUGAAAGCCCCCGGCUCAACCGGGGAACUGCGCUUGAAACCGAAAAGCUCGAGUCAGCUAGAGGUACACGGAACUUCCAGUGGAGCGGUGAAAUGUGUUGA
RNAcentral lists this ribosomal RNA (581 nucleotides) under uncultured bacterium. Its description in RNAcentral is "bacterial SSU rRNA". It matches the Rfam family "Bacterial small subunit ribosomal RNA", at positions 102 to 694 of the family's 1533-position model. The record is from RNAcentral.